CGGACGGGUGAGUAGUGUCUGGGAAACUGCCCGAUGGAGGGGGAUAACUACUGGAAACGGUAGCUAAUACCGCAUAACGUCGCAAGACCAAAGAGGGGGACCUUCGGGCCUCUUGCCAUCGGAUGUGCCCAGAUGGGAUUAGCUAGUAGGUGGGGUAACGGCUCACCUAGGCGACGAUCCCUAGCUGGUCUGAGAGGAUGACCAGCCACACUGGAACUGAGACACGGUCCAG
RNAcentral lists this ribosomal RNA (232 nucleotides) under uncultured bacterium. RNAcentral describes it as "partial 16S ribosomal RNA". It matches the Rfam family "Bacterial small subunit ribosomal RNA", at positions 99 to 334 of the family's 1533-position model. The record is from RNAcentral.